CGCGCUCUUUUCCAUCGCCCAUUUUGUUUUUAGUUUCUAUUUCAUUCAUAACUGUGCACCGGCGACGGUGGUUGCGUCGUCGGUUCGAGGCCAGUUUGGGGAUUAGAAGUUUAUCGUAUUCGUCAGUGCGAAAGGUGAAAGAAAUAUCGUUAAAAUUGAAGAAAAACAAAAAGAAUGUAUUGAAAAUAAACAAUGGAGUCGGGAGGAAUAAAAAUCACGUAUGCCACACGUUCGGUUUUCCUCGGUUCCCUCGUACCCUGUGUGCCUCUUAUCAAAGCUGUUUUUUCCUACUUCCAACAAAUGAAUGGCUUUAUAUAGAUAGAACAAGUGCUGCUCGAGCGGCAUCUCGAAACGUUGAUACUGCAUGUGCAUAAAGUAUAUCGUCGUUGCUCUUUCGAUACUUCAUUGCACGUUUUUUUCUCUCUCGACAUUUACCACGAUUUCUCGUUCUUGUUGCUCCCUUUAUUUAGCCAAAGCACUACCAUCGGUUAAUACACAUAUCUAAAUCCAUACACGGAUGUUCUCGUGUGUACGUUUGUAAUGUCGGCAACGUGGAGUCAAGGGUUACACAUACACCGCACCACGCGAGGAGAUAAAACCAAUCACACGGCACGCUGAGUGAAUUUUCUCACCGGCACUCCGAAUGAGCUAUCACACGGUACUCGUGAUUUCAUUAACGAUGCAUCGUCACAGGAGCACCUCUUAAGGUGGCGCUUCACUGAAUUCUGUCAUCUACUUACAUCGGAGGAUUUGGGAGUAAUUUCUCGAACACGGUGUACGCGCAUCUGAACGCAAAGUUUGAGCUACACGCACGAAUGUCCUGAACACGCGGAUUCGGUGAACGGUUUUCGAAGGGUUGCAAUGAAAUGGGACAUGGAGGAACUGCGGAGAGGAGUUAACGGCACGGCGUCGCUGGAAGAGCACAAUAACGAGAAUAUGUACAAUUGUAUUUCCCAGCAUCCGAGCAAACUGGAGCUCGAUCUACACGCUCGUGCCAUAUGGAUAGAUCGACGGAAAAAUAGAUGUUGAUCCAAGCGGAUGAAUAGAUGGAUACGUAAGAGGAUGCUGAAGCCACAACUAUGGCUGCUUGUAUCCUCGUAUCUACUCUGCUCCUUUCUCGUUCAUUCCGUCGUCUCCACCGCGUCUGCAACUUUCCCCACCGAUGUACAACACAUACUCGAGAAAUUCUGAGUUAGACUGGAGCAUUCACUGCAGAUUCCCUCUCGCUAGGACGUUUUUCUCCCGUACGAAGCAGCUAACGCAAUGCCAUACAUGCUCUAACCUCAUUUCCGUCUCUCUCCUUUUUCCUGGCUCUUCUUCUAUCCUCCUCUUUUCCUUUUUCUGACGAUGUUCAACAAAAUGCCGAGAGUUCUGGCCGCCGCGCGCGCCCGUUUGAAUCUCGCGGAAGUAGAGGAUUUCUGGGAGACGUGCAUGGCUUUUUAUUGUCGGAUAGACCAUUUGAACAACAGCCAACAUGGCGAAUCAGAGCCCAGUAAGAUUCUUUACCUCUCCCACUUUCGCUCGCGCUCUCGCUCGCUCUUUCCUCCACACGCUCCCUCUCUUCCUCUUUUCUUUUUCACCAAUACCUCAUCUCGUCUCCGUCGAUUCUAUUUUCUUUAUUUCCUAUCUUUCUGUGUAUAAAGACACAGACACACGCUCACACGAAUAUGUCAGAGUACACUCGGUGUUUGUUACAUCCAUCGUGUCCUCGCUGGGCUACACUCCAAGCAAAGAUUUUCAAACUCUUUUGGCCAAGCCGAUGUGAAGCGAGCCAAGCGAGAGCAUCCAACGAAAGCACUCGUCUACGGAGCUUCGUCGUAGAUUGUAAUAGAUUUAUAUGUUCUGGCAGGGCAGAAGGGGCAACAGAAGAGAAAAGAAACGAAAAGGGAAGGCUAGACGAGGCGACACACGCAGAAAAAGAGACGAAAACUGUGAUAUACGGGCGCUUCGUACGUCAACGUUUGUUCAAACCAGUUUGCCUUACGAUAAAGAGAGAUGAAACUUUAUUUGUGUAUACAUCUAUAGAUGUGUAUAUUUUAAUACUGAAAACAAAGAAGAAUGCGAAUCUUGGCCAAAGAAUUUUUCGGAUGUCGCGACGACCAAUCCCACUGCUUAACUGAAUUCUCCGUUUCUAAUCUCUGCCAUAGUCCUUCCACCGAUUGAUGUUGAGGAACACGAUGUUUGGAAUUCGAUCUUGACAGAGAUCGUCGUAGCAUUUCUGAAUGGAAUUCCUUGCAGUACGACUGCAGCCAAACUCUGGAGAUUUUU
This is a long non-coding RNA of Venturia canescens, 2268 nucleotides long. RefSeq lists it as uncharacterized. The transcript is spliced from 3 exons. The record is from RefSeq and is a predicted model, not a curated record. Lineage: Eukaryota; Metazoa; Arthropoda; Insecta; Hymenoptera; Ichneumonidae.